GCUCGAGUGGCGAACGGGUGAGUAACACGUGAGUAACCUGCCCUUGACUUUGGGAUGACUUCAGGAAACUGGGGCUAAUACCGGAUAGGAGCUCCUGCUGCAUGGUGGGGGUUGGAAAGUUUCGGCGGUUGGGGAUGGACUCGCGGCUUAUCAGCUUGUUGGUGGGGUAGUGGCUUACCAAGGCUUUGACGGGUAGCCGGCCUGAGAGGGUGACCGGCCACAUUGGGACUGAGAUACGGCCCAG
RNAcentral lists this ribosomal RNA (244 nucleotides) under uncultured Actinomycetales bacterium. RNAcentral describes it as "partial 16S ribosomal RNA". It matches the Rfam family "Bacterial small subunit ribosomal RNA", at positions 89 to 334 of the family's 1533-position model. Lineage: Bacteria; Bacillati; Actinomycetota; Actinomycetes; Actinomycetales. The record is from RNAcentral.